GAUGAACGCUGGCGGCGUGCCUAAUACAUGCAAGUCGAGCGAACAGAUGAGGAGCUUGCUCCUCUGACGUUAGCGGCGGACGGGUGAGUAACACGUGGAUAACCUACCUAUAAGACUGGGAUAACUUCGGGAAACCGGAGCUAAUACCGGAUAAUAUAUUGAACCGCAUGGUUCAAUAGUGAAAGACGGUUUUGCUGUCACUUAUAGAUGGAUCCGCGCCGCAUUAGCUAGUUGGUAAGGUAACGGCUUACCAAGGCAACGAUGCGUAGCCGACCUGAGAGGGUGAUCGGCCACACUGGAGCUGAGACACGGUCCAGGCUCCUACGGGAGGCAGCAGUAGGGAAUCUUCCGCAAUGGGCGAAAGCCUGACGGAGCAACGCCGCGUGAGUGAUGAAGGUCUUCGGAUCGUAAAACUCUGUUAUUAGGGAAGAACAAAUGUGUAAGUAACUAUGCACGUCUUGACGGUACCUAAUCAGAAAGCCACGGCUAACUACGUG
Molecule: ribosomal RNA, 497 nt
Filed under: uncultured bacterium
Lineage: Bacteria
Description: partial 16S ribosomal RNA
Rfam family: Bacterial small subunit ribosomal RNA
Source: RNAcentral